This is an RNA transcript of Chenopodium quinoa (quinoa), 1174 nucleotides long. It is a transcript of the gene named organelle RRM domain-containing protein 6, chloroplastic, with no coding region annotated. The record is from RefSeq and is a predicted model, not a curated record. NCBI's taxonomy places the organism in Eukaryota, Viridiplantae, Streptophyta, Magnoliopsida, Caryophyllales, Amaranthaceae. The transcript is spliced from 6 exons.
CUAACCAAAUGCAAAGGGCGUCUUUCCUUCAACUCCAAAUUGAAUUGAGAAAUUGAAGAUCAAAUAAGAUUUUGAGAGGAAAGGAUUUUGGGCAUAUUCAAAAUUUUCUUCUACAAAAUCAAACUCAAUUACUUGCUAGAUGAUGCUGGCAACAGGCUUUCUUGUUGCUCCUUGUACCAUCACAUCACAAACGAAAGAUGCUUGGAAACAAAGAUCACCAAUAAAGAAAUAUUGUUCUCAGCUUGUUUCCUAUUGUUCUUCUGAAUCUUGUCACUCACCAAAUGCUUCUCUUUCUUCUCAUGUCAACAACCAUGGCAGAGCGCCCUCAUGUCAUCGAUAUGUUAUGGCCUGUGUUUCUUCUUCAUCCAGUUCUACUCCAUCCACGACUACCAGGUUAUAUGUUAGUGGUCUCUCAUUUCGCACUACUCAAGAAAGUUUGCGAAAUGCUUUCCAAAAGUUUGGCCAACUAGUGGAAGUUAACCUAGUAAUGGAUAAAAUCGCCAAUAGACCGAGGGGCUUUGCUUUCCUUCGUUAUGAAACUGAAGAGGAGUCUAUGAAUGCCAUAGAAGGAAUGCAUGGAAAGUUUCUUGAUGGCAGGGUAAUAUUUGUAGAAGUAGCAAAACCCAGGUCUGAAACUGGUAAGAAUCAGCAGAAUACGAGAGAAUCACGCUGACAUACAGGCAUACAGCUACUGAGAAUGGAAUCAGAGCUAGCAAUGUAAAAUCUGUUUUCAUAGUGUGUACAUGGAAAUCAAGAUAUCUGUAGCCUUGUUGCUGACAAAUGGAGAGAUUCAUAAUGCGUCAAGUCAAAUAAGGUUUUUAAGCAUCAAUCAUUGUGCGUCUACUUGAAGAGGUUUGUUGAUUGCUAUUCUACUAUGGUUGAUGCCACGGAUGAAUCCAUUACUAUUGCCAAUAAUGAAUGCCCAAAAAUAUAAGGUUGUAUUCAUCGUUGCACUCAAUCUACAGACUGAAAACUUUCUGCAUCUGUUUAAUUAGAAGUUGUGCACAUGCCUAGAUCUGCAUUGAUGAUAAAGGACCAUGUCUUAAUUGUUCAUACCUUGUAAAUCCAAUCGUGGCUGGUCAUAACCCACCCCCACCCCCCCAAUUCCAUUUAUCUUGUGCUAAAGAAAGUCACGAAUGACUGAUAUAUGUGAUUCAAUUCUUGGAUACUUAAA